AACCCUAGUUAAUGGACAUACGGCGUAAAGUGUGUUUAAGGAAAUCAUAAAAAUAAAGCUAAACCCUGGCUACGCUGUAAAAAGCCCCAGCCACUGUAAACCCCCCCACGAAAGUGACUUUAUAAUACCUGAAGACACGACAGCUAAGACCCAAACUGGGAUUAGAUACCCCACUAUGCUUAGCCCUAAACCCAUAGGAUUUAAUACAACAAAAUCCUUCGCCAGAGUACUACAAGCCAUAGCUUAAAACUCAAAGGACUUGGCGGUGCUUCACAUCCACCUAGAGGAGCCUGUUCUAUAACCGACAAACCCCGAUAAACCUCACCAACCCUUGCCAACC
This 340-nucleotide ribosomal RNA is filed under the name Diaemus youngi. RNAcentral's name for it is "partial 12S ribosomal RNA". It matches the Rfam family "Bacterial small subunit ribosomal RNA", at positions 536 to 989 of the family's 1533-position model. Lineage: Eukaryota; Metazoa; Chordata; Mammalia; Chiroptera; Phyllostomidae. The record is from RNAcentral.